Molecule: long non-coding RNA, 563 nt
Organism: Lemur catta (Ring-tailed lemur)
Lineage: Eukaryota; Metazoa; Chordata; Mammalia; Primates; Lemuridae
Exons: 3
Source: RefSeq, a predicted model, not a curated record
UUGAAUAAAUGUUUGCAAUUGACCCAGUGACAAAUUUCAAGAGCUGGGCCACAAGCUCUCCCAUGACUAUUCAUUUGCCUGUUACCUGUCUUCGGCUUUGGAAGGCGCUUCACUCGUCUACAAUCUCCUGAACUGUCUUCACGUUGGAGUGUGGCUGUGGGCUAGACGAGGGGCAGGGCUCUGACCACCCGGACACCUGUCAUUUCUCAGCAGAGUUGAGGCAGGCCCUGGAGCCUGUUCUCUGUCUUUGCAGCUGCAGUGCAUGGCAGAAGCUGUCCAGGGCAAUGAUGGAUUUCAGGUUUCUUCUUUUGAAGGACAUGGCCUGGCUAAUGCAACACCUCCUUCCUGAAAAUGAUGCAUUUCUAGGUUUCCCACUUAACGGACCACAGAACAUGCCAGGUGUCCCAGGACCACGUUGGACCAUGUGAUCUCAGUAGUGUGGGUGCAGCAGCUUCAGCUCUCCAGACCCAACACCCCAGGAGAUGGUGAUGCAGCAAGGCGGAAGAAACUGCAUGAAACAGAGCUGCGUCCCCCACCUGGACAGCUCUCCCUGGACCUAGUAC